AGCAGCCGCGGUAAUUCCAGCUCCAAUAGCGUAUAUUAAAGUUGUUGCAGUUAAAAGCUCGUAGUUGAAUUUCGGGGUCAGCAAGUUAGUCGUGCCACUGGUAUGCACUGGCUUUGCUGAUUCCUCCUUCUUGUAGAACCGUAAUGCCAUUUAGUUGGUGUUGCGGGGAAACAGGACUGUUACUUUGAAAAAUUGAGUGUUUAAAGCAGGCUAACGCCUGAAUACAUUAGCAUGGAAUAAUGAAAUAGGACGAGCGAUCCUAUUUUGUUGGUUUCUAGGAUUGACGUAAUGAUUAAUAGGGAUAGUUGGGGGCAUUAGUAUUCAAUUGUCAGAGGUGAAAUUCUUGGAUUUAUUGAAGACUGACUACUGCGAAAGCAUUUGCCAAGGAUGUUUUCAUUAAUCAAGAACGAAAGUUAGGGAUCGAAGACGAUCAGAUACCGUCGUAGUCUUAACCAUAAACUAUGCCGACU
RNAcentral lists this unclassified non-coding RNA (470 nucleotides) under uncultured Glomus. RNAcentral's name for it is "SSU rRNA". It matches the Rfam family "Eukaryotic small subunit ribosomal RNA", at positions 569 to 1047 of the family's 1831-position model. The record is from RNAcentral. Lineage: Eukaryota; Fungi; Glomeromycota; Glomeromycetes; Glomerales; Glomeraceae.